This 322-nucleotide ribosomal RNA is filed under the name uncultured eukaryote. RNAcentral's name for it is "partial 18S ribosomal RNA". It matches the Rfam family "Eukaryotic small subunit ribosomal RNA", at positions 1470 to 1796 of the family's 1831-position model. The record is from RNAcentral.
CCCUUAGAUGUUCUGGGCCGCACGCGUGCUACACUGAGUGGAUCAGCGGGUCAGGUUACGCGAGAGCGUUUCCUAAUCUUCAAAUCCGCUCGUGAUGGGGAUUGACGGUUGCAAUUUUCCGUCAUGAACGAGGAAUACCUUGUAAGCGCGGGUCAUCAUCCCGCGCUGAAUACGUCCCUGCCCUUUGUACACACCGCCCGUCGCUCCUACCGAUUGAGUGGUCCAGUGAGGCUUUGGGAUCUAAGCGAAAAGAGCGUUUCGCUCCUUUUGCUGGGAGAACUCAGUCGAACCUUAUCAUUUAGAGGAAGGAGAAGUCGUAACA